UGAUUUGGUGUUGGUUCGUGUUCACCUCC
RNAcentral lists this non-coding RNA (29 nucleotides) under Rattus norvegicus (Norway rat). Lineage: Eukaryota; Metazoa; Chordata; Mammalia; Rodentia; Muridae. The record is from RNAcentral.